AACCUAGCACACCUGCGGUGUGUACCUGCGGAGGGAUCAUUACAUGAUUUAACAGGGAGUGGAGGCUUCGGCCAAAGCUCUGUCUGAACCCAUGUCUUUUGCGUACUUCUUGUUUCCUCGGUGGGCUUGCCCGCCGAUAGGACAACCUUAAACUCUUUGCAAUUGCAAUCAGCGUCUGAAAAACUAUAAUAGUUACAACUUUCAGCAACGGAUCU
This 215-nucleotide unclassified non-coding RNA is filed under the name soil metagenome. RNAcentral's name for it is "partial contains 5.8S ribosomal RNA, internal transcribed spacer 2, and large subunit ribosomal RNA". The record is from RNAcentral.